RNAcentral lists this ribosomal RNA (253 nucleotides) under uncultured bacterium. Its description in RNAcentral is "partial 16S ribosomal RNA". It matches the Rfam family "Bacterial small subunit ribosomal RNA", at positions 524 to 776 of the family's 1533-position model. The record is from RNAcentral.
UACAGAGGUCUCGAGCGUUAGGCGGAAUCACUGGGCGUAAAGGGCGCGUAGGUGGCGCGGGUAGUCAUCGGUGAAAGCUCAGGGCUCAACCCUGAGUCGGCCGGUGAUACUCCCGUGCUUGAGUGUGGUAGAGGCCAAUGGAAUUCCGGGUGUAGCGGUGGAAUGCGUAGAGAUCCGGAAGAACACCGGUGGCGAAGGCGGUUGGCUGGGCCACAACUGACACUGAUGCGCGACAGCGUGGGGAGCAAACAGG